GCGAACAGACGAGGAGCUUGCUCCUCUGACGUUAGCGGCGGACGGGUGAGUAACACGUGGAUAACCUACCUAUAAGACUGGGAUAACUUCGGGAAACCGGAGCUAAUACCGGAUAAUAUAUUGAACCGCAUGGUUCAAUAGUGAAAGACGGUUUUGCUGUCACUUAUAGAUGGAUCCGGGUCGCAUUAGCUAGUCGCUAAGGUAACGGCUUACCAAGGCAACGAUGCGUAGCCGACCUGAGAGGGUGAUCGGCCACACUGGAACUGAGACACGGUCCAGACUCCUACGGGAGGCAGCAGUAGGGAAUCUUCCGCAAUGGGCGAAAGCCUGACGGAGCAACGCCGCGUGAGUGAUGAAGGUCUUCGGAUCGUAAAACUCUGUUAUUAGGGAAGAACAAAUGUGUAAGUAACUAUGCACGUCUUGACGGUACCUAAUCAGAAAGCCACGGCUAACUACGUGCCAGCAGCCGCGGUAAUACGUAGGUGGCAAGCGUUAUCCGGAAUUAUUGGGCGUAAAGCGCGCGUAGGCGGUUUUUUAAGUCUGAUGUGAAAGCCCACGGCUCAACCGUGGAGGGUCAUUGGAAACUGGAAAACUUGAGUGCAGAAGAGGAAAGUGGAAUUCCAUGUGUAGCGGUGAAAUGCGCAGAGAUAUGGAGGAACACCAGUGGCGAAGGCGACUUUCUGGUCUGUA
This 690-nucleotide ribosomal RNA is filed under the name uncultured Staphylococcus sp. Its description in RNAcentral is "bacterial SSU rRNA". It matches the Rfam family "Bacterial small subunit ribosomal RNA", at positions 66 to 738 of the family's 1533-position model. Lineage: Bacteria; Bacillati; Bacillota; Bacilli; Caryophanales; Staphylococcaceae. The record is from RNAcentral.